Molecule: unclassified non-coding RNA, 294 nt
Filed under: uncultured Nocardiaceae bacterium
Lineage: Bacteria; Bacillati; Actinomycetota; Actinomycetes; Mycobacteriales; Nocardiaceae
Description: contains 16S-23S intergenic spacer region
Source: RNAcentral
UCGCUGCUUGCGCAGGCAGUCUCGCUAGAGUCCCCGGCAGCACCUGUGCACGGACUCCGAAGAGGAACCGAUGUUUCCACCGGCUUUCCGGUAUAUGUCAAACCCAGGUAAGGUUCUUCGCGUUGCAUCGAAUUAAUCCACAUGCUCCGCCGCUUGUGCGGGCCCCCGUCAAUUCCUUUGAGUUUUAGCCUUGCGGCCGUACUCCCCAGGCGGGGCGCUUAAUGCGUUAGCUACGGCACGGAUCCCGUGGAAGGAAACCCACACCUAGCGCCCACCGUUUACGGCGUGGAUUAC